AAGAGCUCAUCAUUGGAAUCUGGCAGUGUUUCACUGUCCGAGUUGUAGAUGAGGAGUAGUCCGUCUGGACUGCAUGGCGUCCAAGUACAAUAGGCCGUCAGUGGGACAUCAUAGAGGGUGACAAUCCCGUCCUUGACGCCAAUGUGCAAGUCUAUUACGAUGGCUAUCUCAGAGAGUCGAGCAGUUUGGGAUUUGCUGCUUAAACAUGGGAGGUAGAUUCCUUCUAAAGCUAAAUACAGGCGAGAGACCGAUAGAGAACAAGUACCGCAAGGGAAAGAUGAAAUAGCACUCUGUGAAGGGAGUCAAAAGGCGUGAAAUUGUUGCGAGAGAAGCGAUUCAAGUCAGCGUAGCUAGGCCCAUCAAGCGUCUUCGCUUUGGACUAGCUUUGCCAGCGGUCUUGUCCCUUAAAGAGACUUGACUUGUAAUAUGUCCAGCCUGGCGUGCACAGGCAGCCCCUUCUGGGGG
Molecule: ribosomal RNA, 465 nt
Filed under: Cantharellus cibarius (golden chanterelle)
Lineage: Eukaryota; Fungi; Basidiomycota; Agaricomycetes; Cantharellales; Hydnaceae
Description: eukaryotic LSU rRNA
Rfam family: Eukaryotic large subunit ribosomal RNA
Source: RNAcentral